This 29-nucleotide non-coding RNA is filed under the name Mus musculus (house mouse). Lineage: Eukaryota; Metazoa; Chordata; Mammalia; Rodentia; Muridae. The record is from RNAcentral.
UGGUUUUGCCUUUGAGAAAUGCCACUCCC